RNAcentral lists this ribosomal RNA (465 nucleotides) under uncultured bacterium. Its description in RNAcentral is "SSU rRNA". It matches the Rfam family "Bacterial small subunit ribosomal RNA", at positions 26 to 518 of the family's 1533-position model. The record is from RNAcentral.
AGGACUAACGCUGGCGGCGUGCCUAACACAUGCAAGUCGAACGAGAGUAGCAAUACUCUAGUGGCAGACGGGUGAGUAACACGUGGUCAACCUACCUCUAUGUGGGGGAUAACUAGCCGAAAGGUUAGCUAAUACCGCAUACGAUCGUCGAGCGGCAUCGCUUGACGAUGAAAGGAGCAAUCCGCAGAGAGACGGGACCGCGUCCCAUUAGCUAGUUGGUGGGGUAAAGGCCUACCAAGGCGACGAUGGGUAGCUGGCUUGAGAGAGCGACCAGCCACACUGGGACUGAGACACGGCCCAGACUCCUACGGGAGGCAGCAGUGAGGAAUUUUCCGCAAUGGGCGAAAGCCUGACGGAGCGACGCCGCGUGUGGGAGAAGGCCUUCGGGUCGUAACCACUGUCGAAGGGGAAGAUAUUGACGGUACCCUUGGAGGAAGCCCCGGCUAACUACGUGCCAGCAGCCGC